This is a non-coding RNA of Myodes glareolus (Bank vole), 1179 nucleotides long. The record is from RefSeq and is a predicted model, not a curated record. NCBI's taxonomy places the organism in Eukaryota, Metazoa, Chordata, Mammalia, Rodentia, Cricetidae.
CCGGCGGGUAGGCGGGCUAGGGCCCACGUACUCCCGGCACGUGUGGGCCUGUCGUGAUUGCCUGUGAAUGUGUCUAGGCAGGGUGUUGCAGGGGAACAGCCAAUAUGCCAGCCUCCUGCGGGAGGGAGGGAGGUGUGCUUGCUACUUGUGUGUUGUGGGGAGUCUUAAAGUUUCUAGGAAAGCAAUUGGGGGCUUAGGUGAGGACGACAAGUCUAUGUGUGACCUGUGCUUAAGGUCCCCUUAGAGCAGGAUCCUGUUAAAAAAAAAAAAAAGUGAAGCCACCUGUCUGCCACUGACUAGACCAUGUGUGCUGCAAGUGGCCUCCAGAGGAUUGUCAACUGUAACUCCUGCAGCUGUCUUUGAGGGGCUUCGUGGGAGCUUCCACCCCACCCAUCUGUGUGUAACGGAACCGCUGUGAGAUGUGACUUAAGUGUGUCAUUCCUAGCAGGUGCCUGGGGGAUGGGAUUCUGCAUGUAGGACCUUCAAGUAGAGUGUGGGCUUUCUGUGGCUCGCUUGGCCCUGUUGUACCAUGUGAACAAAUGGUAUUUGUGGAUCUGUGUCCUUGUUUGUGGCUCUCUUGGAGGUUGCCUGUUCUUGAGUGUGGUAGACCCGAGUCUGGACAUAGUUCCUCUGAGGAGCAGUCACAAGGCAGUGGAAACCAGUGGACUUUGGUGCCUGACGUAGCAGCUGGCACAUGAUGAGGCGAGUUGCUGGGGUGCUGGUUGUGUUGUGCUCCUGCGUCUGCCUGUGGGCAGAACAGACGUGCACACACCCGCACCUAGAUACUGAGUGUCUGAGCCAACCUUAUCUGUCCCCAGCGAAUGAGGCUGCUGUGCCACAGAGCUGACUCAGCAUGUGAUGGGCAAAGUCUCGAUGGUGGACGGUGGAAAGUUGUGUGUGGGUCGUUCUGCAGGCUGCUGGGCAGCGCUGACUGAUGGUCAUGGAACUACAUGCAGUGCCGGGCCGGGGAUCGAACUUGGGUCCUCGGGCGGAGCGGUCAGGCGCUCUGCCCCCUGAGCCGUCUCUCCGGCUUGGCCUCAACCCUUUAAAUCCGACAACUUUAUUCUCCUGAGAGCUAGGAUUAUGAGUGUACACAACGGGCUAGUGACAGGUGGCUUUAUAGGAAGGACAUUUGCUGCCAAGCCUGAUGAACUGGGUUCUAUUUGCCCAGGAUUCACA